GAUGAACGCUGGCGGCGUGCCUAAUACAUGCAAGUCGAGCGAACAGACGAGGAGCUUGCUCCUCUGACGUUAGCGGCGGACGUGUGAGUAACACGUGGAUAACCUACCUAUAAGACUGGGAUCACUUCGGGAAACCGGCGCUAACACCGGAUAAUAUAUUGAACCGCAUGGUUCGAUAGUGAAAUACGGCUUUGCUGUAACUUAUAGCUGCAUCUGCGCGGCAUUAGCUAGUUGGUAAGGUAACGGCUUACCAAGGCAACGAUGCGUAGACGACCUGAGAGAGUGGUAGGCGACCCUGGAGCUUGGCCAGCGUCAAGACUCCUGAGGGACGCAGCAGUAGGGAAUGUUACGCAAUGGGCGAGAGCCUGACGGAGCAGCGGCGCGUGAGUGAUGAAGAUCUACGGAGCGGAAAACUCUGUUAUGAGGUAAGAACAAAUGUGUAAGUAACUAUGCACGUCUUGACGGUACCGAAUCAGAAAGCCACGGCUAACUACGUG
This 497-nucleotide ribosomal RNA is filed under the name uncultured bacterium. Its description in RNAcentral is "partial 16S ribosomal RNA". It matches the Rfam family "Bacterial small subunit ribosomal RNA", at positions 28 to 507 of the family's 1533-position model. The record is from RNAcentral.